Molecule: ribosomal RNA, 253 nt
Filed under: uncultured bacterium
Lineage: Bacteria
Description: partial 16S ribosomal RNA
Rfam family: Bacterial small subunit ribosomal RNA
Source: RNAcentral
UACGAAGGGGGCUAGCGUUGCUCGGAAUCACUGGGCGUAAAGGGCGCGUAGUCGGCUUUGCAAGUCGGGUGUGAAAUCCCCGGGCUCAACCUGGGAACUGCAUCCGAGACUGCAUUGCUAGAGUAUGGGAGAGGGAAGCGGAAUUUCUGGUGUAGCAGUGAAAUGCGUAGAUAUCAGAAGGAACAUCAGUGGCGAAGGCGGCUUCCUGGACCAAUACUGACGAUCAGGUGCGAAAGCGUGGGGAGCAAACAGG